GCCGGAGUGGCGGAACAGGAAGACGCAACGGACUUAAAAUCCGUUGGGGUGUAAGCCCCGUGCCGGUUCGAUUCCGGCCUUCGGCACCA
Molecule: transfer RNA, 89 nt
Filed under: Candidatus Atribacteria bacterium
Lineage: Bacteria; Pseudomonadati; Atribacterota; Atribacteria
Description: tRNA-Leu
Rfam family: tRNA
About the family: Transfer RNA (tRNA) molecules are approximately 80 nucleotides in length. Their secondary structure includes four short double-helical elements and three loops (D, anti-codon, and T loops). Further hydrogen bonds mediate the characteristic L-shaped molecular structure. tRNAs have two regions of fundamental functional importance: the anti-codon, which is responsible for specific mRNA codon recognition, and the 3' end, to which the tRNAs corresponding amino acid is attached (by aminoacyl-tRNA synthetases). tRNAs cope with the degeneracy of the genetic code in two manners: having more than one tRNA (with a specific anti-codon) for a particular amino acid; and 'wobble' base-pairing, i.e. permitting non-standard base-pairing at the 3rd anti-codon position.
Source: RNAcentral